RNAcentral lists this ribosomal RNA (269 nucleotides) under uncultured prokaryote. Its description in RNAcentral is "partial 16S ribosomal RNA". It matches the Rfam family "Bacterial small subunit ribosomal RNA", at positions 524 to 792 of the family's 1533-position model. The record is from RNAcentral.
GACGAAGGUGGCGAGCGUUGUUCGGUGUUACUGGGCUUAAAGCGUGUGUAGGCGGAAAGGUAAGCGUCUUGUGAAAGCCCCCGGCUUAACCGGGGAAUUGCUCGGCGAACUGCCUUUCUUGAGGCAGGUAGGGGCGCAUGGAACUCUUGGUGGAGCGGUGGAAUGCGUAGAUAUCAAGAGGAACGCCGAUGGAGAAAUCAGUGCGCUGGGCCUGUCCUGACGCUGAGACACGAAAGCGUGGGGAGCGAACGGGAUUAGAUACCCGCGUA